Molecule: ribosomal RNA, 1838 nt
Filed under: human gut metagenome
Description: bacterial LSU rRNA
Rfam family: Bacterial large subunit ribosomal RNA
Source: RNAcentral
AUAAGCUUUGAUCCACAGAUGUCCGAAUGAGGGAACUCACCUGCUUUGCAGGUAUCCCAUCCUGAAUAUAUAGGGAUGGGAGGCGAACGAAGCGAACUGAAACAUCUAAGUAGCUUCAGGAAAAGAAAUCAACCGAGAUUCCGAAAGUAGCGGCGAGCGAAAUCGGAUCAGCCCAGCACUCGAUAGCAGCCAACUUACGGGAACGGUCUGGAAAGUCCGGCCAUAGAGGGUGAUAGCCCCUUACUGGAAAAGGCAGCUGCGGUACUAAGUGUGCGAUAAGUAGAGCGGGACACGUGACAUCCUGCUCGAAGAUGGGGGGACCAUCCUCCAAGGCUAAAUACUCGUGAUCGACCGAUAGCGUACCAGUACUGUGAAGGAAAGGUUAAAAGAACCCCGGGAGGGGAGUGAAAUAGAUCCUGAAACCGCAUACAUACAAACAGUAGGAGCCUCGUUAAGGGGUGACUGCGUACCUUUUGCAUAAUGGGUCAGCGACUUACGUUUAAUGGCGAGCUUAACCGUAUAGGGGAGGCGCAGCGAAAGCGAGUUCGAACAGAGCGUUCAGUCGUUAGGCGUAGACCCGAAACCAGAUGAUCUAUCCAUGGCCAGGUUGAAGGUGUGGUAACACACACUGGAGGACCGAACCGACUAGUGUUGCAAAAUUAGCGGAUGAGCUGUGGAUAGGGGUGAAAGGCUAAACAAAUCUGGAGAUAGCUGGUUCUCCCCGAAAACUAUUGAGGUAGUGCCUCGUGUAUGACUCCAGGGGGUAGAGCACUGUUAUGGCUAGGGGGACAUGGCGUCUUACCAAACCAUGGCAAACUCCGAAUACUUGGAAGUUUGAGCACGGGAGACAGAGCACCGGGUGCUAACGUCCGGACUCAAGAGGGAAACAACCCAGACCGCCGGCUAAGGUCCCUAAUAUUGACUAAGUGGAAAACGAAGUGGAAAGGCUAAGACAGUCAGGAAGUUGGCUUAGAAGCAGCCAUCCUUCAAAGAAAGCGUAAUAGCUCACUGAUCGAGUCUUUCUGCGCGGAAGAUGUAACGGGGCUAAGUCAAUAACCGAAGCCGCGGAUUCACACUUGUGUGUGAGUGGUAGGGGAGCGUUCUGUAAGCCUGCGAAGGUGACUCGUAAGGGUUGCUGGAGGUAUCAGAAGUGCGAAUGCUGACAUGAGUAACGUUAAAGCGGGUGAAAAGCCCGCUCGCCGUAAGCCCAAGGUUUCCUGCUCUACGUUCAUCGGAGCAGGGUGAGUCGGCCCCUAAGGUGAGGCUGAGAAGCGUAACUGAUGGGAACAAGGUUAAUAUUCCUUGACCACCGCUGAAUGCGAAGGGGGGACGGAGUAUUGAAGAUCAUCCGGGUGUUGGAUAUCCCGGUUUGCGAGCGUAGGAGGCUGACAGGCAAAUCCGUCAGCGAAUCUCCGAGGCGAAGCAUCGAGCUCUCUUUUGAGCGAAGUGAUUGGAUGUGCUUCCAGGAAAAGCCUCUAAGCUCCAGUUCAGCGGGACCGUACCGCAAACCGACACUGGUGGGCGAGCUGAAUAUGCUCAGGCGCUUGAGAGAACUCAGGAGAAGGAACUCGGCAAAUUGACACCGUAACUUCGGGAUAAGGUGUGCCUUUGUAGCGUGGAGGGAGAAACACCCCGAGCGCGAAGAGGUCUCAGAUAAUCGGUGGCUGCGACUGUUUAUUAAAAACACAGCACUCUGCAAAGACGAAAGUCGACGUAUAGGGUGUGAUGCCUGCCCGGUGCUGGAAGAUUAAUUGAUGGGGUGCAAGCUCCUGAUCGAAGUCCCAGUAAACGGCGGCCGUAACUAUAACGGUCCUAAGGUAGCGAAAUUCCUUGUCGGG